CUACUUUACCUCAAAAUUCACUUCUGAAGUUGGUUGGAAACCCUAAGCAAGACCAACAAGUGCGAUGGAUUGCCUGAGUAGCGGCGGUGAAGCCGCGCCCUUCAUCCAAGAAACAACGACGCACCCAGCUUGAAAAUGCAGUCAAGCCCGGUCAAUGACAGCGAGCUAGCUAUAUUCAGUCUUAAAAAGACAAAAGAAAUCGAUUUGGCUGAUUGAGCUUGAUUGGAAUGAAGGGUUUCAAAUAAAGUGGUGGAACUUGGCAAAAACUCGCCUUUGGUGGUAUCAUCUUUUAAUGUGUAUGUCACUGGAGGUGGGUUCCAUGGGGUCACGUUUGUGCAACAAAUGGUGCGAUGUUUUGUGGCUAACCGAGGAAAGGUGAACCUGUAGUUUGCAGGUUUCCAAAACUUGUGGUCUGUAGAUUGGACUUUUGAAAGAACCAUUGACGCCAUUGUAGAUGGAGGUCGAACAACAGAAGCCAUUUUAUAUUCCUGCUAGAUGAAGGUCUCCUCUAGGUAUUUUCUUUUUGUGGAUUUAUUAGUGGUUUGUUGAAUACCAAUGUUAAAAUUUUUAUCUUGAUCAAUGUUGCAUAAAAGCAAUUUAAAUUCAUAUCACUUACUUGAAUUUUUAUAGUGAAAGGUUAAUUUGUUGAAAUGUUAAGAAUGGUUAUUUGUAUUUGUUUUAGUUUCAGUUUUUGUUUUCAGUAUUGUUUUUUUCCUGGUGUUUUGGUGCCGGGUUGCGUACUAAAAAAGUCAACAUGGUCAGUAUUUUGUGUUCUCUAAAUUGCUUGUAUAUCCAUACAGUUGUCAGGACAACUUCUGUCAAGACAACAUCAAACUUUUACCCGGAAGCAGCAGUUUGCUUACAAAAGUAUAGACUUUUAUAUGACCAUUUGAAAAGGUAAGAAGUACUCAAACUUUCCUUUUUCUUUUUCAUUUUUUGUU
Molecule: long non-coding RNA, 941 nt
Organism: Helianthus annuus (common sunflower)
Lineage: Eukaryota; Viridiplantae; Streptophyta; Magnoliopsida; Asterales; Asteraceae
Exons: 3
Source: RefSeq, a predicted model, not a curated record